GGUUAAGCGACUAAGCGUACACGGUGGAUGCCCUGGCAGUCAGAGGCGAUGAAGGACGUGCUAAUCUGCGAUAAGCGCCGGUAAGGUGAUAUGAACCGUUAUAACCGGCGAUUUCCGAAUGGGGAAACCCAGUGUGAUUCGUCACACUAUCAUUAACUGAAUCCAUAGGUUAAUGAGGCGAACCGGGGGAACUGAAACAUCUAAGUACCCCGAGGAAAAGAAAUCAACCGAGAUUCCCCCAGUAGCGGCGAGCGAACGGGGAGGAGCCCAGAGCCUGAAUCAGCAUGUGUGUUAGUGGAAGCGUCUGGAAAGGCGCGCGAUACAGGGUGACAGCCCCGUACACAAAAGCGCACAUGCUGUGAGCUCGAUGAGUAGGGCGGGACACGUGGUAUCCUGUCUGAAUAUGGGGGGACCAUCCUCCAAGGCUAAAUACUCCUGACUGACCGAUAGUGAACCAGUACCGUGAGGGAAAGGCGAAAAGAACCCCGGCGAGGGGAGUGAAAAAGAACCUGAAACCGUGUACGUACAAGCAGUGGGAGCACCCUUUGGGGUGUGACUGCGUACCUUUUGUAUAAUGGGUCAGCGACUUAUAUUCUGUAGCAAGGUUAACCGUAUAGGGGAGCCGGAGGGAAACCGAGUCUUAACCGGGCGUUAAGUUGCAGGGUAUAGACCCGAAACCCGGUGAUCUAGCCAUGGGCAGGUUGAAGGUUGGGUAACACUAACUGGAGGACCGAACCGACUAAUGUUGAAAAAUUAGCGGAUGACCUGUGGCUGGGGGUGAAAGGCCAAUCAAACCGGGAGAUAGCUGGUUCUCCCCGAAAGCUAUUUAGGUAGCGCCUCGUGAAUUCAUCUCCGG
This 856-nucleotide ribosomal RNA is filed under the name Salmonella enterica. RNAcentral's name for it is "partial 23S ribosomal RNA". It matches the Rfam family "Bacterial large subunit ribosomal RNA", at positions 1 to 899 of the family's 2925-position model. The record is from RNAcentral. Lineage: Bacteria; Pseudomonadati; Pseudomonadota; Gammaproteobacteria; Enterobacterales; Enterobacteriaceae.